This is a long non-coding RNA of Canis lupus familiaris (dog), 1585 nucleotides long. RefSeq lists it as uncharacterized. The record is from RefSeq and is a predicted model, not a curated record. NCBI's taxonomy places the organism in Eukaryota, Metazoa, Chordata, Mammalia, Carnivora, Canidae. The transcript is spliced from 2 exons.
UUUCCCUACGCAGACCCGCGGAGGGCUCGCCGGCGCGCACCCCCGCCCGGGGCAGCCGGGCAACCUGCCCCGCGCGCCCCGAGAAGCUCCGCACACGCACACAGGCGGGUCCCCGAGCAAAGUCGCCCCCGGGGCUCCGGACAAACUUUGCUUCCUGCCCGUCUCCGGCGGCGCCGGGAACGGAGCCCCGCAGCUGUCACUGGAGAAGCCACGGGAAACCGACCGGGAGGCUCGCCGGGCGGUGCCGGGGACGGCGGGGACCGGGAAGGCGGAGUGGACGGGGACAAGCCAAGGAAGAUCUGAACACUAUCUGGAAUGACUCGCAAUGCAGCUUGUGGAGGUCCAGGAACCAGCACUGGACUUAGAGUCCAGACCACCUGCUCCAGCUUCUCCGUUUGUCCUGUGAGCCUUAAUCUCCUCACCUGCAGCCGGAAUGCAACAAUACCUAUGUCCCCAAGGAGUGUGACAAACGUCCCCAGCUCACAUUGACCUCAGCUGGCCUUUGUGCCUCUCCUUCUUUCUCACAUAACUGUAUGCCAUACCAAUGGUGAAAAGAACUGCUGUCCUCCAGAAACUGGUAUCUCAAUGUCACAUUGUCUGCGUGCAGGGGGCCAAGGCUGCUUAGAGCCUGUGAUCUAACUUAAGAAAUAAAACAAUAGCCUUUGAGAAGCUAUGGGUCCUAAGUGCCGCCCAGUGGCUUGGCCAGCUCUCUGGCCUCCAGCAGUUCACCAGGCCUGCUAUACAGAAGCCGUAGCUAAAUGACUUCUCUGAGGGGCUGUUUUGCAACAUCCGUGCAGGCAGGGUCUAGAGGCAGCGGCCCUGGGGCAGGGGCCCUGCUAAGUACAUUGUAUUUACUGGGAUGGUAAUUUCUUCAAAGCCGGGCAGUUGGGGAUCUGAAAGAUGUUAUGGGGGGCCCGGAGCCCACCAGUCCAUCUUGUGUAUGCAGCUGUUGUUUCAGUUUUUUCCAGCUCCAACAUUCCAAAACUUUAAAUAGACAGUGUGAAAGUUUGGAGGACAGAUUUUGCUGAAGUUGUCAGCAGAGCCUCUGUGGAAAUGGGGGUAGUGAGCUUGAAGUUUUGCUUGCUCGGUUACCAACAUAAAUGAGAGUGUGGUAUGUGGUCAGCAGAUUGGGAAACCAGCAGGUUAGAGAUUGAGACUGUGCUGUUGUAUAUCUGGUUUUUCUUUUUCUUUUUUUUCCCAGUAAACUUUUUAUUUUGAGAUACUGGUAGAUUCACAUGCACUUGUUAACACCUAACACAGAGAAAUGCUAUGCGUCCUCUACCCAGGUUCCCAUUGGUAACGUCUUGGGAAACUGUAGGAAAAUAUCACAACCAGGAUAUUGACGUUGAUAAAGUCAAGAUGCAGAACAUUCCAGCACAUCCUGUUGUCUUUUCUAGGCAGAGAUACUUCCCUCCCACCCCCAUCUUUUCCAUAACCCCUGCCAGGCUCUAAUUUGUUCUCCUGUUUCUAAAAUUUUCUCAUUUCGAGAAUGUUCUAUAACUUGAAUCACAGUUCAUUGAGGGACUUUGGGUCAUUACCUGUUUGGGGCUAUCACAAAUAAAGCUGCUUUCAGUGCUCACCUAGA